RNAcentral lists this ribosomal RNA (253 nucleotides) under uncultured bacterium. RNAcentral's name for it is "partial 16S ribosomal RNA". It matches the Rfam family "Bacterial small subunit ribosomal RNA", at positions 524 to 776 of the family's 1533-position model. The record is from RNAcentral.
UACGUAGGGUGCGAGCGUUAAUCGGAAUUACUGGGCGUAAAGCGUGCGUAGGCGGCUAUGUAAGACAGAUGUGAAAUCCCUGGGCUCAACCUAGGAACUGCAUUUGUGACUGCAUUGCUAGAGUGUGGUAGAGGGAGAUGGAAUUCCGCAUGUAGCAGUGAAAUGCGUAGAUAUGCGGAGGAACACCAAUGGCGAAGGCAAUCUCCUGGACCUGCACUGACGCUCAUGCACGAAAGCUAGGGGAGCGAAUGGG